Zonotrichia albicollis (white-throated sparrow) is the source of this 2122-nucleotide non-coding RNA. The record is from RefSeq and is a predicted model, not a curated record. Lineage: Eukaryota; Metazoa; Chordata; Aves; Passeriformes; Passerellidae.
AAAAAUAAAUGAAAAGGGAAAAAAACCAAGGGUCUGCCUGACACACUGUAGUAUGGCAGGCUAUGGUAACAUGCCCCAGAAACUUUUUAUUGAAUCCAGCCUUUCACUAUAAAAGAAUUCAUUAACUGCUUCAUGAUGCAAAGUCUGCUAAAGACAUUACCCUCAGUGGCCAGCAUGGGGUUGUUCCCAUACACUGUGAGCACUGCUUUCACUGAUCACUGCUGAGUCCAAGGUCACAUCUAUGAGUCACUGUUAUCCAGUCCUGGGCACCAGUGGGAUGUCCAUGCUUCCAACUCAAGAUGGCUCCACAUCUCUGCCCACUGUUGCCCUGCUCAAGUCAGGUCUGGAGAGCUCAGCUCAGGAGAAGUGUGAAGUCGGUGUUUAAAUCAGCUGGUAUUGAGUCUCUUGUGCGCUGAACUUCCUCCCCUCUCUGCAUAAGGACUACCAGGGGUGCACAAAACCCUUCUCCUGCCUUCCCCAGCAAAUUACCUGUGCCACACACAUGUUGCACAAAUUGCACAAAAACCACUGUGCCAACCACCAGCUCAAUUCUGUAUGGUUUGGUAUACCCACCCUUGGGGCAGUGCAACAUCUACUCUAAUGAAGUUAUCCCAGUGUAAAAACUCCACAAACAAUAAUGCUACAUGAAUGUAGCCUCUGUUACUGGGGAGCCGCACCUUUGAAAAUGUUAUUUUUAAGGGCUGUAAAAAAGGCUGGGGCAAGAGGAGGCAGCCUGACUCUGGGAACUGCUAGAAUCUUCCCAUCAGUUUAUGAUUUCCAUUCACUAUCAGUCAGUUUGCACUCCACUGGUGCAUGUGGUGCUGAAAGAGAUGCACUAGUGGAUGUUUGUUAUAUUUAUGAACCAGGUGGCCCUAACUGCCCCAAUUACACUCGCUGCCUUCCAUUCAUCACGCCGCCUUAAUGAACAGAGAGGCUGGCGGAUGUCAAACAAGCAGCCAGAAGAAACAAAAGAGAAGCCAGGCACAGUGUCACCCGGCUUGAACCAGCCCACCGGUACCUCUCACGUGGCUGUAUCCAUUCAGCUCCCCUGCAAAUCCCAGCGUGAAUGAACCACAGCCACUGCAGAGCAAACAGAUAAGAGUCCGGAGGAAGUGAUCGAUAUAUUUAGAUAACGUGUAACAAGAACACGCAGCAACCUGCCUCCUUUUCCAUGCUUGGAUAAAGAGGAGAGGAAAAUAAAAAUCUCAGUAUUGGCUGCUUCAGGCUGAGUCAUUCUUUGACACUACGGUUAAUCGGCACCACUGUAACCAUGGAGUUAGCCUAAGUUCAGGAUAACACGGUGGCCUUAUUAAGAAACUCAAGCACAGAAAUACAGUUGGAAAGUCCUAGUUCUCCUCAGCAAAUGAAUCUUUUGAACUCAGCUCAGCCACCUGCACCUUCACGUUCACUGUUUUUACAGAGCAGAUGCUGGAGGUGUAAAAAUAAUUCAAAAUAUGUUAGUCAUGCUUGAAAUGGUCAAAUGAAGAUUAGAGAAAAACCCAACAGUUUAAGAGAAUGUGAAGGGACAUUAAAAGAAGGGACAAAGUCAUCCCCCAGCCCUUCUGCCUCCAAGCCACCUGCAAUCCUGAACACAUCCCUCAAUACCUCUUUCACAGGACAAAGAUAUGAGGAAAAAAUAAACCAAACAAAAGCACGAGGAACAACUUUAACUGCACCUCGAGAGAGGCGGAGGGGGAUAUUGUACACAGAGACCCUGAGAACAGCUUGCCUUGUGCAGGUGCAAAAUUCCCUUCUCCCCUGCCCAUGCUGGGAGUCAUUUCCAGGGGUCUGCCCAGGUGGUUAUGUGCUGCUACCUGCAGAUAAAGAAACCCCUGCUAAAGUGAAUCUUAACUGUACAGCCCAAUGCUCUGCAUCUGUUCAGCUUGGAUGGGUUCAGUGGUUCAGUUAAUGUAAGCUCAGGCUAGUCUGAGCCUGUUAAGUGCUCAAUUAAGCCUGAUCCACUGCACCUCUUUAUUUCCUGCGUAGCUGGAUUCUGUUUUUUCCAUGACACAAGCAUUUCCCUAACCUUUUGGAAAAGGCAUUUAGCUGAAAAGCACGGAGUAGGAGGAAGUUGUUUGCUCUUGGUAUGCUGUGCCGGAAAUAAAGUCAACAUGAUAGAUUA